UGGGGUAUUGAAUCCUUCUUCUUGA
This 25-nucleotide transfer RNA is filed under the name Marmosa murina (murine mouse opossum). Its description in RNAcentral is "partial tRNA-Pro". Lineage: Eukaryota; Metazoa; Chordata; Mammalia; Didelphimorphia; Didelphidae. The record is from RNAcentral.